UACGUAGGGUGCAAGCGUUGUCCGGAAUUAUUGGGCGUAAAGAGCUCGUAGGCGGUUUGUCGCGUCGAAUGUGAAAACCCGGGGCUCAACCCCGGGCCUGCAUUCGAUACUGGCAGACUAGAGUUCGGUAGGGGAGUCUGGAAUUCCUGGUGUAGCGGUGAAAUGCGCAGAUAUCAGGAGGAACAUCAGUGGCGAAGGCGGCCCUCUGGUCCAGUACUGACACUCAAGUGCGAAAGCGUGGGGAGCAAACAGG
RNAcentral lists this ribosomal RNA (253 nucleotides) under uncultured bacterium. RNAcentral's name for it is "partial 16S ribosomal RNA". It matches the Rfam family "Bacterial small subunit ribosomal RNA", at positions 524 to 776 of the family's 1533-position model. The record is from RNAcentral.